RNAcentral lists this ribosomal RNA (1554 nucleotides) under Clavibacter michiganensis. Its description in RNAcentral is "partial 23S ribosomal RNA". It matches the Rfam family "Bacterial large subunit ribosomal RNA", at positions 17 to 1502 of the family's 2925-position model. The record is from RNAcentral. Lineage: Bacteria; Bacillati; Actinomycetota; Actinomycetes; Micrococcales; Microbacteriaceae.
GCAAACGGUGGAUGCCUUGGCAUCUGGAGCCGAAGAAGGACGUAUAAAUCUGCGAUAAGCCUCGGGGAGCUGAUAAUAGAGCUUUGAUCCGAGGAUCUCCGAAUGGGGAAACCCCGCCAGGCCCUUUGGGUGACCUGGUGACUCCCGCCUGAAUAUAUAGGGCGGGUAGAGGGAACGUGGGGAAGUGAAACAUCUCAGUACCCACAGGAAGAGAAAGCAAAAGCGAUUCCGUUAGUAGUGGCGAGCGAAACCGGAAGAGGCCAAACCGAUCAUGUGUGAUAUCCGGUAGGAGUUGCAUGGUCGGGGUUGCGGGACUUUCCGUACAGUUCUACCGAGCUGUGAGGGCAAUGAGCGCGAUAUAGACGAAUGGUCUUGAAAGGCCAGUCAUAGAGGGUGCGAACCCCGUAGUCGAAAUGUCGUCGCCUGUCCGGAGAGUAUCCCAAGUAGCACGGGGCCCGAGAAAUCCCGUGUGAAUCUGUCAGGACCACCUGAUAAGCCUAAAUACUCCCAGAUGACCGAUAGCGGACAAGUACCGUGAGGGAAAGGUGAAAAGUACCCCGGGAGGGGAGUGAAAUAGUACCUGAAACCGUUUGCUUACAAACCGUUGGAGCGCCCUUGUUGGUGUGACAGCGUGCCUUUUGAAGAAUGAGCCUGCGAGUUAGUGAUAUGUGGCGAGGUUAACCCGUGAGGGGCAGCCGUAGCGAAAGCGAGUCUUAAUAGGGCGUAUGAGUCGCAUGUUCUAGACCCGAAGCGAAGUGAUCUAUCCAUGGCCAGGUUGAAGCGACGGUAAGACGUCGUGGAGGACCGAACCCACUUCAGUUGAAAAUGGAGGGGAUGAGCUGUGGAUAGGGGUGAAAGGCCAAUCAAACUUCGUGAUAGCUGGUUCUCUCCGAAAUGCAUUUAGGUGCAGCGUUGCGUGUUUCUUGCCGGAGGUAGAGCUACUGGAUGGACGAUGGGCCCCAAAAGGUUACUGACUUCAGCCAAACUCCGAAUGCCGGUAAGUGAGAGCGCAGCAGUGAGACGGUGGGGGAUAAGCUUCAUCGUCGAGAGGGAAACAACCCAGACCACCAUCUAAGGUCCCUAAGCGCGUGCUAAGUGGGAAAGGAUGUGGAGUUGCAUAGACAACCAGGAGGUUGGCUUAGAAGCAGCCACCCUUGAAAGAGUGCGUAAUAGCUCACUGGUCAAGUGAUUCCGCGCCGACAAUGUAACGGGGCUCAAGCACGCCACCGAAGUUGUGGCAUUUAUAUUAUAGGCAGGCCUUCGUGGUCCAGCCGUAUGGAUGGGUAGGAGAGCGUCGUGUGGCCAGCGAAGCGGCGGUGUGAACCAGCCGUGGAGGCCACACGAGUGAGAAUGCAGGCAUGAGUAGCGAAAGACGGGUGAGAAACCCGUCCUCCGAAAGACCAAGGGUUCCAGGGCCAGGCUAAUCCGCCCUGGGUAAGUCGGGACCUAAGGCGAGGCCGACAGGCGUAGUCGAUGGACAACGGGUUGAUAUUCCCGUACCGAUGAAGAACCGCCCAAGACAAUCCAGUAAUGCUAAGUGUCUGAAUCCUUGAU